AUUGAACGCUGGCGGCAUGCCUUACACAUGCAAGUCGAACGGCAUCGCGGGAAAGCUUGCUUUCCUGGCGGCGAGUGGCGAACGGGUGAGUCACACAUCGGAACGUACCGGCUAGUGGGGGAUAACCCGUCGAAAGACGGGCUACUACCGCAUACGCUCUUCGGCGGAAAGCCGGGGACCUUUGGGCCUUGCGCUAGUCGAGCGGCCGAUGUCCGAUUAGCUAGUUGGUGGGGUAAAGGCCUACCAAGGCGACGAUCGGUAGCGGGUCUGAGAGGACGAUCGGCCACACUGGGACUGAGACACGGCCCAGACUCCUACGGGAGGCAGCAGUGGGGAAUCUUGGACAAUGGGGGCAACCCUGAUCCAGCAAUGCCGCGUGGGUGAAGAAGGCCUUCGGGUUGUAAAGCCCGUUCGGCAGGGAAGAAAUCGGCGGGGCGAAUAACCCUGCUGGAUGACGGUACCUGCAGAAGAAGCACCGGCUAACUACGUG
RNAcentral lists this ribosomal RNA (490 nucleotides) under uncultured bacterium. RNAcentral's name for it is "partial 16S ribosomal RNA". It matches the Rfam family "Bacterial small subunit ribosomal RNA", at positions 28 to 507 of the family's 1533-position model. The record is from RNAcentral.